Molecule: small nuclear RNA, 102 nt
Organism: Peromyscus maniculatus bairdii (prairie deer mouse)
Lineage: Eukaryota; Metazoa; Chordata; Mammalia; Rodentia; Cricetidae
Source: Ensembl
GUGCUUGCUGUAGCAGUAUAAAUACUGAAAUUGGAACAAAACGGAGAUUAUCGUGACACUUGUGCAAGAAUGACACAAAUUCAUAAAUCAUUUGAUAAUUUU